Molecule: transfer RNA, 85 nt
Filed under: bovine gut metagenome
Rfam family: tRNA
About the family: Transfer RNA (tRNA) molecules are approximately 80 nucleotides in length.
Source: RNAcentral
GAGCGGUGGCUGAGUGGCCGAAAGCGUCGGUUUGCUAAACCGAUGAAGGAGUACUCCUUCCGCAGGUUCGAAUCCUGUCUGCUCC